RNAcentral lists this ribosomal RNA (1437 nucleotides) under metagenome. RNAcentral's name for it is "bacterial SSU rRNA". It matches the Rfam family "Bacterial small subunit ribosomal RNA". The record is from RNAcentral.
AGAGUUUGAUCCUGGCCCAGGAUAAACGCUGGCGGCGUGCCUAACACAUGCAAGUCGAACGCCCUUAGCAAUAAGGGAGUGGCGGACGGGUGAGGAACACGUGGGUUAUCUACCUUGGGGUGAGGAAUACCACCGGGAAACCGGUGACAAUACCGCAUAUGCUCAGCAAUGAGCAAAGCCUUCGGGCGCCACAAGAUGAGCCUGCGGCCGAUUAGCUAGUUGGUGGGGUAAAAGCUCACCAAGGCGACGAUCGGUAACUGGUCUGAGAGGACGGUCAGUCACACUGGGAUUGAGAACGGCCCAGACUCCUACGGGGGGCAGCAGUGAGGAAUUUUCGUCAAUGGGGGAAACCCUGAACGAGCAACGCCGCGUGCAGGAAGACGGUCUUCGGAUUGUAAACUGCUUUUCUCUGGGACGAGAACGGACGGUACCAGAGGAAUCAGCUCCGGCUAACUACGUGCCAGCAGCCGCGGUAAUACGUAGGGAGCAAGCGUUGUCCGGAUUUAUUGGGCGUAAAGCGCACGCAGGCGGUUUAGUCAGUCUCUACUGACAGUGUCCGGCUCAACCGGGCAAGUGGUAGGGAAACUGCUAAACUUGAGGGCUUCAGAGGGAUGGGGAACUCCAGGUGGAGUGGUGAAAUGCGUAGAUAUCUGGAAGAACACCAAUGGCGAAGGCACCAUCCUGGGAAGCAUCUGACGCUCAGGUGCGAAAGCUAGGGGAGCGAACGGGAUUAGAUACCCCGGUAGUCCUAGCCGUAAACGAUGACCACUAGACGUUGAGGGUAUCGACCCCUUCAGUGUCGCAGUUAACACAAUAAGUGGUCCGCCUGGGGAGUACGGUCGCAAGAUUAAAACUCAAAGGAAUUGACGGGGACCCGCACAAGCAGCGGAGCGUGUGGUUUAAUUCGAUGCAACGCGAAGAACCUUACCAAGGCUUGACAUGUAUUUGCACCGGCCGUAAUGGGUCGUCUCCUUCGGGAGCGGAUACACAGGUGCUGCAUGGCUGUCGUCAGCUCGUGUCGUGAGAUGUUGGGUUCAGUCCCGCAACGAGCGCAACCCCUAUCGUUAGUUGAAUGGUCUAGCGAGACUGCCGGAACAAACCGGAGGAAGGCGGGGAUGACGUCAAGUCAGCACGGCCCUUACGCCUUGGGCGACACACACGCUACAAUGGAUAGGACAAUGGGACGCCAACCCGCGAGGGGGAGCCAAUCCUCAAAACCUGUCCUCAGUUCAGAUUGGAGGCUGAAACCCGCCUCCAUGAAGUGGGAGUUGCUAGUAACCGUAGGUCAGCACACUACGGUGAAUACGUUCCCGGGUCUUGUACACACCGCCCGUCACACCACGAAAGUCGGCAACACCUGAAGCCGCUGGGCUAACUCUUCGGAGAGGCAAGCGUCGAGGGUGGGGUCGGUGAUUGGGGUGAAGUCGUAACAAGGUA